GACGAACGCUGGCGGCGUGGAUUAGGCAUGCAAGUCGAACGGUAUGGUACCUUCGGGAAUCAGAGAGUGGCGAACGGGUGAGUAACACGUAGGUGAUCUACCCUCAAAUCGGGGACAACCCAGGGAAACUUGGGCUAAUACCGGAUGAGUGCAGCAAUGCAUAAAAGGUGGCUGGUAACAGCUGUUGUUUGAGGAUGAGCCUGCGCCCUAUUAGUUAGUUGGUGAGGUAACGGCUUACCAAGGCGAUGAUAGGUAGGCGGCCUUAACGGGUGGUCGCCCACACUGGGAUUGAGAUACGGCCCAGACUCCUACGGGUGGCUG
Molecule: ribosomal RNA, 321 nt
Filed under: uncultured Spirochaetota bacterium
Lineage: Bacteria; Pseudomonadati; Spirochaetota
Description: bacterial SSU rRNA
Rfam family: Bacterial small subunit ribosomal RNA
Source: RNAcentral